Molecule: unclassified non-coding RNA, 345 nt
Filed under: soil metagenome
Description: partial contains 5.8S ribosomal RNA, internal transcribed spacer 2, and large subunit ribosomal RNA
Rfam family: 5.8S ribosomal RNA (bases 1-119)
Source: RNAcentral
GAUGAAGAACGUAGCGAAAUGCGAUACGUAAUGUGAAUUGCAAAUUCAGUGAAUCAUCGAGUCUUUGAACGCACAUUGCGCACCCUGGUAUUCCGGGGGGCAUGCCUGUCCGAGCGUCAUUGCUGCCCUCAAGCACGGCUUGUGUGUUGGGCCCCGUCCUCCGAUCCCGGGGGACGGGCCCGAAAGGCAGCGGCGGCACCGCGUCCGGUCCUCGAGCGUAUGGGGCUUUGUCACCCGCUCUGUAGGCCCGGCCGGCGCUUGCCGAUCAACCCAAAUUUUUAUCCAGGUUGACCUCGGAUCAGGUAGGGAUACCCGCUGAACUUAAGCAUAUCAAUAAGCGGAGGA